This 440-nucleotide ribosomal RNA is filed under the name uncultured bacterium. RNAcentral's name for it is "partial 16S ribosomal RNA". It matches the Rfam family "Bacterial small subunit ribosomal RNA", at positions 338 to 795 of the family's 1533-position model. The record is from RNAcentral.
ACUACGGGUGGCAGCAGUGGGGGAUAUUGCACAAUGGGGGAAACCCUGAUGCAGCGACGCCGCGUGUGGGAAGACGGUCCUCUGGAUUGUAAACCACUGUCCCCAGGGACGAAGAUGACGGUACCUGGGGAGGACGCUCCGGCGCCCUACGUGCCAGCAGACGCGGUAAUACGUAGGGAGCGAGCGUUGUCCGGAAUUACUGGGUGUAAAGGGAGCGUAGGCGGGACUGCAAGUUGGGUGUCAAAUCUACCGGCUCAACCGGUAGCCGCACUCAAAACUGCAGUUCUUGAGUGAAGUAGAGGCAGGCGGAAUUCCUAGUGUAGCGGUGAAAUGCGUAGAUAUUAGGAGGAACACCAGUGGCGAAGGCGGCCUGCUGGGCUUUUACUGACGCUGUGGCUCGAAAGUGUGGGGAGCAAACAGGAUUAGAUACCCUGGUAGUC